RNAcentral lists this ribosomal RNA (494 nucleotides) under uncultured bacterium. Its description in RNAcentral is "bacterial SSU rRNA". It matches the Rfam family "Bacterial small subunit ribosomal RNA", at positions 958 to 1399 of the family's 1533-position model. The record is from RNAcentral.
AACGCGAAGAACCUUACCUACCCUUGACAUCUAGCGAAUUCUGCUUAGGGGCAGAAGUGCCGAAAGGAGCGCUAAGACAGGUGCUGCAUGGCUGUCGUCAGCUCGUGUCGUGAGAUGUUGGGUUAAGUCCCGUAACGAGCGCAACCCCUGUGAACUGUUGCUACCCAGCACCACUUUUGUUCCCAAUCCUGCCAGUCGAGGACCGCAUUGGAGACAAAAUGGUGCUGGGGCACUCUGUUCAGACUGCCCUGUGAAACGGGGAGGAAGGUGGGGAUGACGUCAAGUCAGGAUGGCCCUUACGCCCAGGGCUGCACACGUACUACAAUGCUCAGUACAGAACGACCCGAAAUCGCGAGGUGGAGGAAAUCACUAAAACUGAGCCCAGUUCGGAUUGUAGGCUGCAACUCGCCUACAUGAAGCCGGAAUCGCUAGUAAUGGCGUAUCAGCUACGACGCCGUGAAUACGUUCCCGGGCCUUGUACACACCGCGCAUAG